This is a non-coding RNA of Camelina sativa (false flax), 6883 nucleotides long. The record is from RefSeq and is a predicted model, not a curated record. Lineage: Eukaryota; Viridiplantae; Streptophyta; Magnoliopsida; Brassicales; Brassicaceae.
CACAUAUUUCCACAUCUUUCUCUAUUACGUCUCUCUCUACGCUUUAGCUAUUGAUAGAUGAUUAUUCUAAACGAACGCGUCUUUGAGAUUUUCUGAAUCGAUCAUCAUCGUUCCUACUUCUGGGUUUUCACUUUUCAUUGAUGAUUGAUAUUUUCUAGGGUUUGGUUCCUAAAAUUGCAUCGGUGGAUUUACUUUUUCGCGCUGUUAAUUUUUAUAGAUUGUGGAUCGAUGCUUUGAUCAGUCGGUGCAGACCCGGCUCUAAGGGUGUGCCAGCGGUGCAAGAGCACAGGGUCCUUAAUUUUUUUUCCUUAUUUUUUUGUGUUUUAAAAAAAUCUAGAAGAAAUACAGAGUUACAUAGGGUCCUUUUUUUGUUUGGAGCACAGGGACCAAAAAAAUAUUGAGCCGGGCCUGAGUCGGUGAUGGAUGGUUUCGAUGGAUUGAUUAUUGCUUCUCUCUAUUACGUCUCGACGAGGGGUGUUCUUGCUCUGGUUUUUGUUUUUCGUAGCGAAUUAUAAUCCGAUGAUCAUCGCUUUUCGAUUUCUGAAAUCUCACCUUCUAGGGUUAUGUUUUUUUUUUGUAGAUUGUGUAUGAUUCUGUGAUCCGCCGUGAUAGGUUUUUUUUUUGUAUCUUUGUCACGCGUUUUCUCUUACGCUAAGUCUUUAAUCGAAUUUUGAUCACUAUGAUUCGUUCUCGCUUCUGUAUUUUUCACUUUUUCUAAUUCAUGUUAUUUAUUUCUCCUUCUCUUGUUGAUGAUUUAGAUUGUCGACUAUGAUCGAUUGGUGAUUGACGAGGAGGAGGGUACUAAAAUCGAUCGGUGGUGGUUCUAAUUUUUGAUCCGAACUUGUUUAUUCGCUUCUGAAUGUUCACUUUUCUGUUCAUGUUAUUUACUCCACGUAGUUCUAUUGUGUUGUUAAUCCAGAUUGUGGGGUGAUUGAGGAGGAUACUUAGAUCGAUCGGUGAUGGUUUGAUUGAACUUUGUCACGCGUUUUCUCUGUUGCUUUUUUUUUUUUUUGUCCUCCUUCCCCAAUUCUUAAUUUCUUAGCCUUUUGUUUUCCUCUUCUUCGUUUCUAGAUAAGCGACAUCUCUCUUCUUUUGUUUUCGUCUUUGAUGCAGAUCGUGGAGGCAGUGGGAUUGCUCUGUUGAAUCUAUUUUUCUCUCGUCUAUCAUAUCAUCUCUUUUGGUUUCUUCUGAUUUCUCUCGUGCUUUAUUUUCCCGAAUGACUUACUUGUUACAAUCACAAUUUCCUCUGUUUCUAUUCCGUCUCAGUUGAUGUGUUACUUCUUUGGCGGUUUUCUAUAUUUCCCCUUUGUUUCCUUUGCAGGGUUCUUAUAUUACUUUUGUUUUCCUUCUGAUUUUUUUGGGUGAAACUUUUUGGUUUAGAUCGACGUAGAGGUUGAAGGCAUUGUGAAGGGAAGGAUGGCUUGCGUUUAAUUUCGUGUUUCUGGUUACUUCGCAUCUAUAUCUGCUAUUGGUUGAUUUAUUUAAUUUUGGCUAUUUUUGUUUCUGUCCUCUGUGUGUCUUAAUGUGUUUUCCAGAUUUUCUACGUCAACGCCUCUCUGAUUCUCUGCCUGCCUACACACAUUCAUAUGAAAGAUGAUCUUAAAUUUCCCUACACACAUACACAUUCAUAUUCUUUGUACUUUUUUUGUAACUAGUUUUUGAAUGCUUAUAUAUGUCUUUUAGGCCUGCUAAGUCUGAGCUCUCUGAUCCAGAAGGUUUUGACAUGUGAUUUAUUGAGGUUUUCGUUCCUCUUUUCCCUUGGGUAUAUUUCUGUAAUCUGUUUGCUUUUUAUAUACGACCUUGAUUUUUGAAUUUUUGUUUCCUGAGUUAUAGACUGCGCCACUUGGGAGUCUUCAAGAUCAUUUGGAUUUGUUAUUGGAUGUUUCAGGUUUACAGUAGUGUCGCUGAUCUUCCUAGUGAUGCUGGCAUUUAUGUGUUAUGCUUAAGACCCUUUCUUUUGAUGUAGGUAGUGGAGGUUCUAAAAGAAAGAAACGUCAGGCUACUAACUGGUUUCGUUCCCUUGUCUUUUAUAUGUUUAGUGUUUGAUCAUACUCUCAUAUGCUUGUGACGAUGUUUAUUUUUUCUAAAUGUGAAAUGUUCCCUUCUUAAUAGGUGAAUAUUUUGAGCUUGAAAGAUGUCUUUGAUCUUGUGCUUCCCUAUUACCUCUCUGGCGGUUCCUUAUCCCCCUUUGUUUUUUUCUUAUGGUUUCUUAUUUCCCUAUUACUUGGAUGUUUUUCUUUUCUAAAUUUUGGAUAAUUUCGAUGUAGAUCGUAGAGGUCCAAGGUAUUGUGGGAGAUAAGGAUGUGUUGCAUAUAAUUUCGUAUUUCUGGUUCCUUCGCAUAUAUGCACACCUAUUUCCCUGUGGAUUGUUUAAUUAUAUUAUCGUUAUUGUUGGUGAGAUAUGAUUUUUCCUCUUGUUUCUGUGUUUCCCAGAUUUUCUUCACCAAUAACUUCACUCCAUUUCCGUAUUCACACACUCAGAUUAAAGAUGAUUAUAGAUCAUAGAUUCCUCCCAAACGAAUUUCUGGUUCCUUCGCAUAUAUACUCCUUUUUACAAUUGGUUGAUUUAAUUAAUUUUAGUUAUUUUUGUUUAGGUUUGAUCUGCCCUCUGUGUCUUAUUGUGUUUUUUCAGAUUUUCUACAUCAAUCGCUUAUCUGUUUCUCUGCUGUCUACACACAUUUAUAUAAAAGAUGAUCUUAAAUUCCCUUCCGAACGAGUUUGUUCAUAUAGAAGGCUGGACCUGCAUUAACACUAAUGUCGGUUUUAUCUUCCUAGUGAUAUUGGCAUUUAUGUUUUAUACCUAAGUGUCUGUCUUCUGUUAUAGGGAGUGACGUUCUAAAGGAGAAAAACGUCACGUUACUAACUGUUUCUUUUCCCCUUUAUUUAUGUUCGUAUUAUCUCUCAUUCUACAUAUAUGUUUUGUGUUUGAUCAUACUCUCCUAUGCUUUUGACGGUGUUUUUUAUGUGAAAUGCUCCGCUUCUUUAUAGGUAUAUUGAGCUUGAAAGAUGUCUUUCAUCUCGUUGUUCCCUGUUACCUAUCUGGCGGUUUUUAUCCCUCUUAUUUCCCAAUUACUUGAUGUUUUUUCUUUUCUUAUUUUUGGAGAAUUUUUGAUUUAGAUCGUAGAACUUCAAGUCAUUUUGAGAGAGAAGGAUGGCUGGCGUAUAAUGUCGUGUUUCUGGUUCUUUCACAUCUAUACACUUUUUUUACCUAUAGGUUGUUUUAUUUAAAACUGGGUAUUGUUCGUGAGGUAUGAUUUUCCCCCUGUGCCUGUGUUUCCCAGAUUUCCUUCACAACUCACUUUAUUCUAUGUCCGUAUACACACUUAGAUUAAAGAUGAUCAUAGAGUCCUCCCAAACGAGUUUCUGGUUACUUAUUAUAUAUACACUUUUCUGCUACUGGUUGAUUUUUUUUAAUUUUGGUUAUUGUUGGUUAGGUUUGAUAUGUCCUCUGUGUCUUAUUCUGUUUUCCAGAUUUUCUACAUCAGUCAUUCUCUAUUCCUCUGCUGUUUGCACACAUUCAUAUAAAAGAUGCUCUGAAAUUCCCUUCGGAACGAGUUUGUUCUAAUACUUUUGCUUUGUAAGUAGAUUUUGUUUUGAUUUUCUUUUAUGUCUGCUAAAAGUCUGAGCUCUCUGAUGCAGAAGGGUGGACCUGUGUUUAUUCAGGAUUUCCUUCUUCUCUCUCCCUCGAGUAUAUUUCAGCACUCUGUUUCCAUAGAAUUUGUUAUUCGAUGUUUCAGGUUAGCAGUAACGUCUGCUGUUAUUGGAUCAUCCUGUAUUUCUGCAUCGGGAGUUUUGCUAGUUACGUUUACAGUUUGCCGGGAGAAUUUGGUGCUUCCAUCUGUCGUUGAUUCAUGUUUUAGUUGAUGGAUUUAGUUUUUGAAUUGAACAGAGCUCCUCUUAUGCAGAAAGUUAGACAUGUUGAUAGUCAGGUUUUCGUUCUUCUUUCUUUCUUAGAUCUUCUGCAAUCUUUUGAUUCAUAAUUACUGGAUUUUGAAGUGUGUUUCGCUUACUGAGCCAUGGACUGUGACAGUGGGGAGUUUCUUUUGGCUUUUUGGUGUGUUGAGGAUUCGAAGGAGCCCGACUCCCUUUUGAUUUUUUUGACAUCGAAGGUUGAAUUUGCAGUAGGUUUUUAACCUCUGGUGUCUUUUGCCUUUUUCUGUUUUGAUGACCACUAUAUUUGAUGAAGACGUGAUCAGAUAUCCUCCCCUCCUUAUCUGCUUGUGCUUGUAGUUUGCUGCAUCUUUUCUAUCGUUGAUACUACUCGCUUCUACUUGAGAUGAAGUCAUUAUCGUUGCAUCCGGGUUUGAUUUUGCAAAGUGGUAGUUCUGUUUUGGCCUGCUUGCCUACACUCGUAUCUGUACAUCAUGAAUUUGUGAAGUAGAUUCAGGUCAGAUGUUAUAAGUUCUUUGGCAUGUGAUUAUUGCAUCUCUGUUGAUUUGUGAAUUACUUCUGACUGUUGUAGUUUACUUGGUAUUCAAGAAAAGGGAGAUUCCACCUCCAUACUAAUUGACGGGUUCCCAUCCUUUCUUCCUUGUUUCUGCUUUUACGAGGCUAUUUAUUUUCUCAGAAUUGAUGCUAUUAAUUGUGGUUGCAUAGUCUAUUGCUUCUCUCUGAGCGGAAAUGUGCUACAGAUUUUGAGGAUCCAGUAUAUUUACUUAUGAGUUGGUCUGUUCUCCAGCAAGACAAGGUAAUAUCGAAGGUUCUAUCAGUUUCACUCAUCGGUUUUGUAUAAAAACUUUUUUGUUUUGGUGAAUCUUCUAUUUCGUGGUCUCUGCCGCUGGGGAUUAGAUGUUCAGGAUGGUUGAAGCUCUGUAGGUUGACUUCUCUGAAGGUGUGGAUACCAUACUUGUUCUAUUGAUUCUAAGAUUGAGUUGUACUUUUGAUGAUGAUUCUCAGUUUCGCAGCAAUAUCUGAUUAAUGUCCAAAAAAAUUGCAGAUUUUCAGCUCUUGUUAUUGUACACUACGUGGAUUUUAGGUUUCAUCAGAUACCGGAGUAUUUAUUCUUGUAGUUUAGUCAUAUAACCACUAGUCUGCCAGAAUGAGUUAUUUAGUUAAUUUGUAAGUUCUUCCACAGGACAUCAGAUUUCUUGCCAUUGUCAGAAUCUGGGGGAAUGAAUCUUGUGAUUCUGGGGAACACGUACAAAUAUUAUUGAGGUGUUGUGUUGCUCAUAUGUUCUUUAGUUUGUUAUUUUGAUGUCAUCGUUGAUUUGAUUAUGUCUGUGAUUCUUGCUGGUAGUGUGACCUCAUCAUGGGGUAGGCUCAUAGAAGGUGAAGAGCAUCUUCGUUUUGAUAACGGUCUUUACUUUUGACUGCUGACAUUUGAAUUUGAUAAUGAAGUCCUCAAUUGAUUUUGUUCGGGUGAUACAUAAUGUUGUUGGAUUUCAGGUGAGGCUUAAUUUUAUGGAAUCUUCAUACGAAUGUUCUCAGGUAGUUAGUGAAAAUUGAGAACAUCACCUCCUUACUUCUGGUGAAGAGGUUGAUUACUUGUGUUGUUGAAUUGUUACCUCCGAAUCCUAGUUCCUUUCUUCCUUUGGACGUAUUGGCUUGCAGGUCAAAGCUUUCUGUCUAACACGAUAAUGUACCGCCAUUCUGGUUACUGUUAUUCAGACACUACGAUUGGGGAAGUGAUGCUUACUCAAUUCUCAUCAUCUCUUGAACCUUAAUUUGCUCUGUCACACAUUGAAGCCUAUGUUGGGUUUGCAGUUUGUGAAGUUUUCAUGGGAAGGUCUUUGGUGUAAACUGAAGUUGAUUUUAUUCCUGAAGAAAGAUGUGCUCCCUAUAUGUUAAGAAAACGCAACGUAUUGAUGCAAACUUUUUUAUCUUCUGAAUUAUGACGUGUUGCCAUACCAACUGUUUGGUAAAGUAAUUGUGAGAGAUGUUUUCCUGUAUGUGAGUGAUAUGUUUUGCUGGAAGGGACUAUACAAGAAGACACAACUCCGGGAGGCUUACAAGCUUAUACGUAGAAUGAAGUUAAAAGAUCUCAGGCCUUUAUCUUGUGGUGUGGAUUGGAUUUGCUCAUAGCUCAUUCAAAGAAUGGAGUAUGCUAUUAGGUUAAAGCUAGUGUGCUUACCACAGAAUUGCCUACAUCAGUUAUGGGACCUUUGGUGUGGCCGCUUUGGCUUGCCUCUACAAUUGCGAAAAUGAUGAGUUCUCAUUGCUCGGAACUUGAGAGGAUCCUCAUUUUGAUGCGGUUGUUAUUACACAUUGAAGCCCACGCUGGUGUUGCAGUUUCUGAAAUUUUCAUGGGAAGCACUGUGAUUGGAGUAGACUGAAAUUUAGUUAUGUGCUUUUGUAUAUUAUAUAUUCUCCGAGGGAACUGAAGUCUUGUUCCAAAAGUCUUGGAUGUAUAAGAUUCUGUUUUGGAAGUGUUAAAAGAUCAAAUUCCGUUCGCUUGUUGCUUCUGUUAUUAUUGAGACAGUUACGUUAUUUACCUUCUGAGCAGUUGAGCUCUUGCAAAUCAGGUUAAUUAAAUUUCAACGGUCCAUAAACUAAUCGUGUCGGUCAAAAGUCAAUGUCCGUGUGGUGUCCGUAUCUGAAAUCUGACUUUAUUAAUAAGUUACAGUACUACUUAAGGAGUGUCGUGACGUUCAACUUCGAUGUGGAGCUGCCAGGGAUGAUGAUGAUGACGAAGAUUAUCAUCUGCUAUCUGAUGUUGAGAUGGAUAAGGAAUCUGAAGCUGAUAAAAUCAUUUCAGAGCAUCUUGUUAUUCUGCAGUCUGAAACUAUUCAGGAGCUUACAAAAACAUCACAAGCUUUAGCAGCCCUUCAAGAGGAGGCAUCUGAACUACGUAAACUAGCUGAUGCACGCGGAAUUGAAAUUUCUGAACUUAAUGCCAAGUGGAGUGAACAGAAAUUGAUGCUAGAGCAGCAAAAGAAUCUGGCUG